This 448-nucleotide ribosomal RNA is filed under the name uncultured Planctomycetota bacterium. RNAcentral's name for it is "bacterial SSU rRNA". It matches the Rfam family "Bacterial small subunit ribosomal RNA", at positions 217 to 656 of the family's 1533-position model. Lineage: Bacteria; Pseudomonadati; Planctomycetota. The record is from RNAcentral.
GCUUAGAGAGGGGUCAAUGUCCUAUCAGCUAGUUGGUAGGGUAAUGGCCUACCAAGGCGAAGACGGGUAGCCGGCCUGAGAGGGUGGUCGGCCACACUGGGACUGAGACACUGCCCAGACUCCUACGGGAGGCUGCAGUCGAGAAUCUUUCGCAAUGCCCGAAAGGGUGACGAAGCGACGCCGCGUGUGGGAAGAAGGCCUUCGGGUUGUAAACCACUGUCGGGAGUUAAGAAAUGUAAGGGUGCUAAUAGUAUCCUUACUUGACUAAGGCUCCGGAGGAAGCCACGGCUAACUCUGUGCCAGCAGCCGCGGUAAUACAGAGGCGGCAAGCGUUGUUCGGAAUUAUUGGGCGUAAAGGGCACGUAGGCGGCCUUGUAAGUCAGUUGUGAAAGCCUUCUGCUUAACGGAAGAACAGCAUCUGAUACUGCAAGGCUAGAGUGCGGAAGGG